Molecule: small nuclear RNA, 196 nt
Organism: Ipomoea nil (Japanese morning glory)
Lineage: Eukaryota; Viridiplantae; Streptophyta; Magnoliopsida; Solanales; Convolvulaceae
Rfam family: U2 spliceosomal RNA
About the family: U2 is a small nuclear RNA (snRNA) component of the spliceosome (involved in pre-mRNA splicing). Complementary binding between U2 snRNA (in an area lying towards the 5' end but 3' to hairpin I) and the branchpoint sequence (BPS) of the intron results the bulging out of an unpaired adenosine, on the BPS, which initiates a nucleophilic attack at the intronic 5' splice site, thus starting the first of two transesterification reactions that mediate splicing.
Source: Rfam
AUACCUUUCUCGGCCUUUUGGCUAAGAUCAAGUGUAGUAUCUGUUCUUAUCAGUUUAAUAUCUGAUACGUGGGCCAAUGGUCCACACGAUAUUAACUCAAUUUUUUUAGGGAGAAGGCCCAUUAAGGUAGCUUGCUACCUGGGCUCUCAAGCGUCGCCGUUGUGUUGCACUAUUGCUUCGGCCUGGCGCAUCCCAC